This 1163-nucleotide long non-coding RNA is filed under the name Brassica napus (rape). RNAcentral describes it as "long non-coding RNA (BNAP_LNC002788)". Lineage: Eukaryota; Viridiplantae; Streptophyta; Magnoliopsida; Brassicales; Brassicaceae. The record is from RNAcentral.
AAAAUGUUGGAUUGAAAUCAAAUUUUAUCUAUUUAUUAGAAAAAACAAAUGAAAGAAUGAUUAUUUGACCUUGUAUAAGGAGUUAAAAUGCAAACAAAAAAACACAAAUCAAUCUAAUUGAAUUUGUUAUUCAAAUCGAACUAAUCCAUAAAUCAAUCAGUUGUGUGAAUUUGACUUUUAACUGGACGAAGUCAGAUUAAUUUUAUGAUUGGGUUAUAGAGACAUCGAGAGAGAAACACAGAGCUUUCGCCGGAGGUAACCGAAGGGAUGUGAGAACGCGGAAGGAGACUGGUGAGAGACUCCUCAACAACAGGCAGCACCAAUUGCAAACAAGAGCUUCACCUUCAAGCAGAGACACCUUUUGCAGGGUCGUCCGCAAAACCCUAAUUAUCAGCAUCAACAAACGAGAAGAGGAAGCACAAGAGCUCACAGAAGGACGGCAUGGCAGUUGACUCUCGAACUAAAAAACAGAGGUCCUCGAUGGCGAGCCUACACACCACCUUUCACUCAGAAACUGAGAGGAGAAGCUCUACACAUACCUUGAGCCAGCGGUGGAAUGGAUUGACUGGAACGAGACCUUGAGCCAGGAGCAGCGACGGCAGCGCGUCACACGAGACUGGUGGUUCUCAGCCUCAGAUAUGACCCAAAUCUGAGCACAAUCAACACAUCCCAGGUUGAUUCAAAGCCCCUGAGGUAUCCUCGAUCUACCUCGCCUCGCCGGAACUCCGGAGAAACCAUGGACGCCCAUGGUUCCCGAUAGAUCUAAAAAGAAAUCCAGAGCCACCAAGCAAGGAGGAGAGACAUGAUGAGGAGAGCAACAAGGAGAAGGCUUGGGCAUCAGAACACGGACAGGGGUGGCGACCGGAGCAGAAGCGUCCGGCCACCGAGGUGAUUGAACAGAAAACGCGGCGGCUAGGUUGAAGAUUUUGUGGAGAGACCCUAGAGAGAAACUUUAUCUCUCUCUCUUGUUUUUUUUUUCAGUCCGAAGCUACAAAGUUCUCUGUUGGCUCCACGAAAACGCAAACACCAAGAAUCUAUGAGUUGCGGUAGGCUGUAGAUGUCACUGAAGAGAACAUGAUACAUCGGCUAGUUAUCUAGGGAGCGUAGAGCGUUUCGGAUCUCUAGAGAGGAGAAUUAUAUGAUUUUCAUAAUUUUGAUGGCCC